GAUUAGUGGCGAACGGGUGAGUAACACGUGGGCAAUCUGCCCUGCACUCUGGGACAAGCCCUGGAAACGGGGUCUAAUACCGGAUAUGACUGUCCAUCGCAUGGUGGAUGGUGUAAAGCUCCGGCGGUGCAGGAUGAGCCCGCGGCCUAUCAGCUUGUUGGUGAGGUAGUGGCUCACCAAGGCGACGACGGGUAGCCGGCCUGAGAGGGCGACCGGCCACACUGGGACUGAGACACGGCCCAGACUCCUACGGGAGGCAGCAGUGGGGAAUAUUGCACAAUGGGCGAAAGCCUGAUGCAGCGACGCCGCGUGAGGGAUGACGGCCUUCGGGUUGUAAACCUCUUUCAGCAGGGAAGAAGCGAAAGUGACGGUACCUGCAGAAGAAGCGCCGGCUAACUACGUGCCAGCAGCCGCGGUAAUACGUAGGGCGCAAGCGUUGUCCGGAAUUAUUGGGCGUAAAGAGCUCGUAGGCGGCUUGUCACGUCGGUUG
Molecule: ribosomal RNA, 490 nt
Filed under: Streptomyces sp.
Lineage: Bacteria; Bacillati; Actinomycetota; Actinomycetes; Kitasatosporales; Streptomycetaceae
Description: bacterial SSU rRNA
Rfam family: Bacterial small subunit ribosomal RNA
Source: RNAcentral